RNAcentral lists this ribosomal RNA (406 nucleotides) under uncultured bacterium. RNAcentral's name for it is "partial 16S ribosomal RNA". It matches the Rfam family "Bacterial small subunit ribosomal RNA", at positions 30 to 526 of the family's 1533-position model. The record is from RNAcentral.
AUUGAACGCUGGCGGCAUGCUUUACACAUGCAAGUCGGACGAGUGGCGAACGGGUGAGUAAUAUAUUGGAACGUACCGAGUAAUGGGGGAUAACUACUGGAAACGGUAGCUAAUACCGCAUACCAUCAGAUGUGCCCAGAUGGGUUUAGCGAGUAGGUGGGGUAACGGCUCACCUAGGCGACGAUCCCUAGCUGGUCUGAGAGGAUGACCAGCCACACUGGAACUGAGACACGGUCCAGACUCCUACGAGAGGCAGCAGUGGGGAAUAUUGCACAAUGGGCGCAAGCCUGAUGCAGCCAGGCCGCGUGUGUGAAGAAGGCCUUCGGGUUGUAAAGCACUUUCAGCGGGGAGGCGUUACCCGCAGAAGAAGCACCGGCUAACUCCGUGCCAGCCGCCGCGAUAAUUC